Molecule: long non-coding RNA, 679 nt
Filed under: Meleagris gallopavo (turkey)
Lineage: Eukaryota; Metazoa; Chordata; Aves; Galliformes; Phasianidae
Description: lncRNA (ENSMGAG00000018905.1)
Source: RNAcentral
GUGCAUACAUAUGGGACUUGUGAGGAAGGAACAAGGAUACUUUCUUUUGGCAGGUAUUUCUUCUUUCUCUUCCAUGGAGUAUAAUGUUUCUUCAAAGACAUGAAAUCAAAAGCCUCCUGCCAAAGGCGGAUUUGUCUGGUAGUUAGUUUAAUUUUUCUUGAAAAUUUUGCCAUGGGCUAUUUUGAAAAGUACAUUGCUGUUGAGGGUGCAGAGGAACACAUUUGUUUCGCAUGAAUGGCGGCAAAUUCCAGGACUGACUUGUGCACUUCUUGAUGGUUUUCUGGCACUGCUUUUUGAGAGAGAGAGACGUCAUUGUGUGCACACUGAGACGACAUCGUGGACUCCAGCUAUUAAAGAUUUAUUUAACUUGAGAACAUGUUUUGGUUUUGCAGAUGAUUACAGAUGGCAAGGUGGCUGAAUCCUGGCGCAGGAGAUUGUGCAGCGUGAUCCCGAUGAGCUACCUGAUAGACAUGGCAAAACAAAAAUAUCCUUGAUUUCUGCUUGCAUGUUUUGCAGGACUUUUGAGCAAGUAGUGCCUGAAAUAAGAGUCCAUUUCACAGCUCAUCUUUCCUCUGAGAAGCCCUGGUGGAAACAAUCACAUUCCCCAGAAGAAGAUAGCAGCUUGGCUGUUGCUGCUCUUCUGUGUUUGUAUCAGAGGUGUGAAAUUGAAUGCCUGUGA